UACGUAGGGGGCAAGCGUUGUCCGGAAUCAUUGGGCGUAAAGAGCGCGUAGGCGGCGGGGUAAGUCGGGUGUGAAAUCUCAGGGCUCAACCCUGAAACUGCACUCGAUACUGCUCUGCUUGAGGACUGGAGAGGAGACUGGAAUUCACGGUGUAGCAGUGAAAUGCGUAGAUAUCGUGAGGAAGACCAGUGGCGAAGGCGGGUCUCUGGACAGUUCCUGACGCUGAGGCGCGAAGGCCAGGGGAGCAAACGGG
This 253-nucleotide ribosomal RNA is filed under the name uncultured bacterium. RNAcentral's name for it is "partial 16S ribosomal RNA". It matches the Rfam family "Bacterial small subunit ribosomal RNA", at positions 524 to 776 of the family's 1533-position model. The record is from RNAcentral.